Molecule: long non-coding RNA, 2490 nt
Filed under: Citrus x clementina
Lineage: Eukaryota; Viridiplantae; Streptophyta; Magnoliopsida; Sapindales; Rutaceae
Description: Citrus clementina (C. clementina) long non-coding RNA (CCLE_LNC004125)
Source: RNAcentral
AAUGUAUGUUAAGUAGUUGAUGCCAAGUAAUAUUUGAAAUCAAUGAAAAUUCUAAUACGAUAUCUAAUAACUAGGUAAGAAAUAAAUAUAUUUAAUGAAGGUACUUGUGAGUAAAAACAUUGAUUUUUUAUUCAAACAUUUUAUCAUUCAGAUAAAAUUUAAGAAAUUUUACUUUUUUCAUUCAGAUAAAAAUGUCUUAAAAUAAGACUUUAAAUACAAAAAAAAGCUAAAAUACCAAAACAUCUUAAAUUAAGCGAAAUUAAGAUUUCAGACAUAAAAAUAAACAAAUUCUUAGCAUCACUUAACUAGUGAUAACUUUCAAAUUUAGUAAAAUAAAAGAACAAAAAAAUUGGUGAAUUAUUUGGGUUAUUGUUGAUUUUACGUUAGAAUUAUUUUAAAUUAUUUAUCAUUAACAACUAUUUGUAUUUCAAAUAGGCUAAAUUAAAAUUGUGUAUAAAAUGUGAGCCCAAUACAAGCUCGUUUAGACUCUCAAUCUACGUUAGCCCCAUACUUUUACGUCAUGUCAUAUGGAACCUCGACCUAAUAUUUGUAUCAUACCUAGGGAUGGCAAUGGGCACCGCCUGCAGCGGGUUUGCCAUUACCAAACCCAAACCCGCACAAAAUUUAAAUUACCAAACCCACUCGCAACCUGCAGUGGGUUUUUAUUUUUUUAAAAAAAAACCACCUGCAGCGGGUUUUAACACUUACCAAACCCGCAAUGGUACCCAGCGGAUUUUUUACGGGUUUUCGUAUUUAAAAUCACAAAUAUUUGAUAUAUAAAUUUAUAAUAAUAACCUCAAAUUUCAUAUAACAUACUCAAUUUUAUAUUUAAACAAUGUAAAUGAAAAAUUAAAAUUUCAACAUCAAUCCAACACAAAUUCUCAAAUUUAAGUAUAAAUUACACAAAUCCAUUUAAAAAACACAAACUAGUAUUUAAAAAUAAUAAUUACAUUUCAUAUUAUCAUUUAAAAAUAAUGAAUAUCUGAGAGAAGAUAUUCAUUUCAUUCACCACCAUAAGCACCCAUCCAACACAAUGCUUAUAAUAAUAAUUAAGAUUAAUAUUAAUAUUUUCAAAUAUUAAUUCGAAGGGAAAUGCCUUUAGUUUUCUUUAGGUUAUGACUUUAGAAUGGGAGAUGGGCCACAUACACACAUACACAACUUUGAACAUUUGGCUAUUUGGUAAUUUGAAUAAUGACAUUAUUUUCUUUAUACAUUUUUAGAUUAAAAUUAAAUUAAAAAUAUUUGGAAAAAAUAUUGUGGGUUUGGUGGAUAUCUAUGCGGGUAUCCACUGGAUAUAAGGUUAAUACCAAACUCAUCCGCAUUCAUGUGCGGGUUUUAGUUUAUAAUACUAAACCCACCCGCAACGGGUAAAAUUACCAGCAGCGGGCGGGUUUUGGCGGGUGGAUUUGGGCGGGUUUACGGGUACAAUUGACAUCCCUAAUCAUACCUUACUGAGAGAAAAGUCUCUUAUGAGUGGAGUGGCAUUUCAAUGUUCCAAUAAUACACUCAGUCUGGUUCCUUCAGGUUCAAGCAAUUAUUUGUCGCUUGGCUGAACAACUUCUGGACUAGGCAAUGGGUCGGCUUGGGCUCAAAUUGGGCCAAGCAUUCACUUGAUCCUAUGAGUAAAAUGAACAGCCCUAAUUUUUCGAAAAGCCCGACCUUUAUCGAGUUGGGGUCGGACUUUAUCUGAGCCCGACCAUAAUUAUUUUUAGUUUUUUUCUUAAUUUUUAAACUUUUUUAAAAUAGGAAUCUAAUUCUUCAUUCUUGAUUAAUAAUAAUAUCAUUAUUGUUCUAUUUUUAUGUUGAAAUUGGUUGUAAGGAAUUUAAUAAAUUUUUAUUUUUAUUUCGCUAUAACAACAAUACAACAUGUAACGAUUUAACCAAAUUAACAAUUAAAUAAGUCAAAUACAAAAUAGUAAAAUAGUAUGAAAUAGAAACAAAUAUUAGUGGAGUGAGUUGUAACCACGUGUAUGACAUAGGUGUUUUAACUUUAAGUGUUAUAAUUUUUUAAUUUUAAAAGUGAUCAAUGGUUGGGUCUGGGCUUUUUGGUAAGGCCCUAACCCUGACCUGAAUGUAAUUUGACUUUAUUUUUUGAGUCUUAAUCCAACAUUUAGCCCAUUAAGUUUGGGGCCAAAACCCUUAAAAUUAGGGUGGGCUUAAAUAGGUUAAGGGUAGGAUUGUAUCCUUGUCCCAUCCCUAUCUAGACCUAUUUCAAUUUCUUCUCUAUAAUAAUAAAAAAAAAACUACUGAGAUUGCUAGUUUUAGACUUAUAGGGACUAUAAAAUUGUAUAUUUUAGUGACAAACUAAUAAGAAGAUGAUAGUAAAAAAUAUUGUAACAGAGCAUCCUAGAAUUUUCUACCAAGUCUUGUCACUUCUUUCACACAUGAACCAAAUAAGAGAUGACAAUGCCCAAGUCCAAGAAUUAUUAGGGAUGGCAAAACUCCAAGUUCAGGUAUGACAAUGCCCGAACCUAAUCUGAAUAUUAUAUA